This is a non-coding RNA of Paramormyrops kingsleyae, 647 nucleotides long. Lineage: Eukaryota; Metazoa; Chordata; Actinopteri; Osteoglossiformes; Mormyridae. The record is from RefSeq and is a predicted model, not a curated record.
GCAGUGUCUGUCAUCCCCCCUCCAGAUAUCAACGAAUGCCUGAGCCCAGGCGUGUGUGUCCAUGGGAGGUGUGUCAACAAGGAUGGCUCAUAUGAAUGCAUCUGCAAUGUGGGCUUCGUGGCCGGCCUGGAAAGCAAGAGCUGCCGAGACAAGGACGAAUGCCUGCUCCCAGAAAUCUGCCCCCAGGGCAGUUGCAUCAACCUGGAGGGCUCCUACAGGUGCAGCUGUGACCUGGGGUACCAGCCCAGCCCUGAUGGCAAAGCAUGCCAAGACAUUGAUGAGUGUGCGACACGGAGCGUGUGUCCUGCUGGCAUAUGCAAAAACACGCAAGGCUCCUACCAGUGCACCCACUGUGGACCAGGCUUCACGCCCUCAGCGGAUGGUCUCGUGUGCGAAGACAUUGACGAGUGCCUCACGGACGUCUGCCCGAAUGGGAUCUGCUUGAACUCCGAGGGCUGGUACUCCUGCAUCUCCUGCCCCUCGGGGUACACGGUGUCUGCAGACCGGACGGUGUGUGAAGAUGUCGACGAGUGCCAGGUCCCUGGGACGUGCCCUGCGGGCAUCUGUGUCAACAUAGAGGGCUCGUACUCCUGUGAGGGCUGCGCAGAUGGCUAUGCGGUGUCGGCAGACGGACACAGCUGUGAUGG